Molecule: ribosomal RNA, 305 nt
Filed under: uncultured bacterium
Lineage: Bacteria
Description: partial 16S ribosomal RNA
Rfam family: Bacterial small subunit ribosomal RNA
Source: RNAcentral
ACAGCAGUCGCCGCGGGAAUACGAAGGGGGCUAGCGUUGCUCGGAAUGACUGGGCGUAAAGGGCGCGUAGGCGGUUUUGACAGUCAGAUGUGAAAUUCCUGGGCUUAACCUGGGGGCCGCAUUUGAGACGUAAGACUAGAGUGUGAGAGAGGGUUGUGGAAUUCCCAGUGUAGAGGUGAAAUUCGUAGAUAUUGGGAAGAACACCGGUGGCGAAGGCGGCAACCUGGCUCAUUACUGACGCUGAGGCGCGAAAGCGUGGGGAGCGAACAGGAUUAGAUACCCCUGUAGUCCCUGUCUCUUAUACA